RNAcentral lists this ribosomal RNA (426 nucleotides) under uncultured Actinomycetes bacterium. Its description in RNAcentral is "bacterial SSU rRNA". It matches the Rfam family "Bacterial small subunit ribosomal RNA", at positions 233 to 671 of the family's 1533-position model. The record is from RNAcentral. Lineage: Bacteria; Bacillati; Actinomycetota; Actinomycetes.
GCGGCCUAUCAGCUUGUUGGUGAGGUAAAGGCUCACCAAGGCGACGACGGGUAGCCGGCCUGAGAGGGCGACCGGCCGCACUGGGACUGAGACACGGCCCAGACUCCUACGGGAGGCAGCAGUAGGGAAUAUUGGGCAAUGGGCGAAAGCCUGACCCAGCGACGCCGCGUGAGGGAUGAAGGUCUUCGGAUUGUAAACCUCUUUCAGUAGGGAAGAAGCGAAAGUGACGGUACCUAAAGAAGAAGCACCGGCUAACUAUGUGCCAGCAGCCGCGGUAAUACAUAGGGUGCAAGCGUUGUCCGGAAUUAUUGGGCGUAAAGAGCUCGUAGGUCGUUUGUCGCGUCGAUUGUGAAAAUCUGAGGCUCAACCUCAGACCUGCAGUCGAUACGGGCAAACUAGAGUGUGGUAGGGGAGACUGGAAUUCCU